CAGUAUUAUUAAAUUCAGAUAUUCAAAUUUGUUUUGUUUUUUUUUAGUUUUAGUAUUAUUAAUAUAGCUUAACAGAUAUAUUGGACUGAAGUAUGUUUCGCUAUGUUUGAAUUCUCUGACAUCGGUCUUAACAGUGGUUUUGACCACUGUUAUGUUUAGACAUCACUGUUAGGUUAAACAAUGAUUGAUGGAACAGAAUUUCCCUAACCCUAUUCUGUGAUACCAUUGUUAAAGUAACAUCGCAAUAGUGGAACCAACAUAAGUAUAUUUUUUAAACAUAGGGGGUACGUUCGUAGAAACGUUGGCAAGAACCCACAGAAAUUUCCUGGUCGUGACCGGAUGACGUCAUCAGUCGAAGCCGGAGAUGUGUUUCUACGAACGGCAGUGGUCGCUUAAUCACAUGUACAACAUGGCGGUUGUUUUUGAAAACCAAAGCCAAAAGAACAAAAUAAUUAUAUCAGCAAUUACAUCUGCAGUAAAUUUAUUUAUUGAUAAUGAAGCGGAGUCCGAGAACUUACAAUUAAUAAAUUUAAUGUUAAAUAUUUUAAUGGAAAAAAUAGUAAAGGGAAAAGAUUAUAUAAAGUACAAAGCUACUAUGAAUAUGUUAUUCCACGGUAAGUAGUUACUGAUCUAUACUUAAAAUCUUGUAUCGCCGACGUAUAACCAAUUUUCAUAGUUUGGACUAUAAAACGAGCAUUGAUCACAUUGAUAAAUACUGCUUCCGCCAUCUUGGAAUAAACAACCCGACCACAUGGUAUCAUUAACCCAGCUCUUCAGCUGGGUCGUUUCAGUCACAACCAGGGUUGUAACCAUCAGUCGUGACCACUGUAAAUCAAACGGCAUUGGUAGUUUUAAAGAACGGUUAUGGUCAUCACCGGUAUGACUCAAGGUUGUUGCCUACGUUUCUACAAACACACCCUAUAUUGCAAAUUCUAUAUUUGCAAUUUGUAUGCCACAAAUUUAUUAGCAACUAGUUUGUCAUUUGCAGACAGGUUUUUUUUUUAUAGACUAGUUAUCACCAUUAUCUGAAUACAUUGAUAUAUAUCAAUAAUAAGAAUUUUAUUAGAUCAGGAUUAAGACCUUUAUUCCAAAAAUUGUAUAUCUGUUUUUCAGAAAUACAUUUUAGAUAUAUUUUUUACAUCCCUCAUCAGUCUGAUAAUUUAUUUUUAAACGUUAAAGGUUUUGUACAGGGAGAAAAUCCAGAUUAGUAUUUAUCAUACAUCAAAAUCCUUUGAUGGAAUAUAGAAAGAGAAUCACAUUAAUUAAUAUAUGAAGUAACAACAUGCAAUAAAUGCAUUUAUUGAGGUUAUUGUAACCAUUAUAAUAAGACUCUCUCUUUCAAUAGGGGAGAACCUUUAUUGCAAAUGGUUAUGAAACUAAUGAAGUUUAUAGGCUAAAGUAAAAUCCAGUAGAAUGUGCUUAUUACCUGUAGUUACUUCAUUAGUCAAUAGUGCCAUAUGAUCUUAUGUAGUCUCUAAGUUUAUCAAUGUUCAAAAAAGAGUAUUAAGUUAUAAAAAGGGAUUGUUAAUGUUCAAC
Molecule: long non-coding RNA, 1536 nt
Filed under: Androctonus crassicauda
Lineage: Eukaryota; Metazoa; Arthropoda; Arachnida; Scorpiones; Buthidae
Source: RNAcentral